This 2930-nucleotide ribosomal RNA is filed under the name Escherichia coli. RNAcentral's name for it is "23S ribosomal RNA". It matches the Rfam family "Bacterial large subunit ribosomal RNA". Lineage: Bacteria; Pseudomonadati; Pseudomonadota; Gammaproteobacteria; Enterobacterales; Enterobacteriaceae. The record is from RNAcentral.
GGGUUGUGAGGUUAAGCGACUAAGCGUACACGGUGGAUGCCCUGGCAGUCAGAGGCGAUGAAGGACGUGCUAAUCUGCGAUAAGCGUCGGUAAGGUGAUAUGAACCGUUAUAACCGGCGAUUUCCGAAUGGGGAAACCCAGUGUGAUUCGUCACACUAUCAUUAACUGAAUCCAUAGGUUAAUGAGGCGAACCGGGGGAACUGAAACAUCUAAGUACCCCGAGGAAAAGAAAUCAACCGAGAUUCCCCCAGUAGCGGCGAGCGAACGGGGAGCAGCCCAGAGCCUGAAUCAGUGUGUGUGUUAGUGGAAGCGUCUGGAAAGGCGUGCGAUACAGGGUGACAGCCCCGUACACAAAAAUGCACAUGCUGUGAGCUCGAUGAGUAGGGCGGGACACGUGGUAUCCUGUCUGAAUAUGGGGGGACCAUCCUCCAAGGCUAAAUACUCCUGACUGACCGAUAGUGAACCAGUACCGUGAGGGAAAGGCGAAAAGAACCCCGGCGAGGGGAGUGAAAAAGAACCUGAAACCGUGUACGUACAAGCAGUGGGAGCACGCUUAGGCGUGUGACUGCGUACCUUUUGUAUAAUGGGUCAGCGACUUAUAUUCUGUAGCAAGGUUAACCGAAUAGGGGAGCCGAAGGGAAACCGAGUCUUAACUGGGCGUUAAGUUGCAGGGUAUAGACCCGAAACCCGGUGAUCUAGCCAUGGGCAGGUUGAAGGUUGGGUAACACUAACUGGAGGACCGAACCGACUAAUGUUGAAAAAUUAGCGGAUGACUUGUGGCUGGGGGUGAAAGGCCAAUCAAACCGGGAGAUAGCUGGUUCUCCCCGAAAGCUAUUUAGGUAGCGCCUCGUGAAUUCAUCUCCGGGGGUAGAGCACUGUUUCGGCAAGGGGGUCAUCCCGACUUACCAACCCGAUGCAAACUGCGAAUACCGGAGAAUGUUAUCACGGGAGACACACGGCGGGUGCUAACGUCCGUCGUGAAGAGGGAAACAACCCAGACCGCCAGCUAAGGUCCCAAAGUCAUGGUUAAGUGGGAAACGAUGUGGGAAGGCCCAGACAGCCAGGAUGUUGGCUUAGAAGCAGCCAUCAUUUAAAGAAAGCGUAAUAGCUCACUGGUCGAGUCGGCCUGCGCGGAAGAUGUAACGGGGCUAAACCAUGCACCGAAGCUGCGGCAGCGACGCUGAUGCGUUGUUGGGUAGGGGAGCGUUCUGUAAGCCUGCGAAGGUGUGCUGUGAGGCAUGCUGGAGGUAUCAGAAGUGCGAAUGCUGACAUAAGUAACGAUAAAGCGGGUGAAAAGCCCGCUCGCCGGAAGACCAAGGGUUCCUGUCCAACGUUAAUCGGGGCAGGGUGAGUCGACCCCUAAGGCGAGGCCGAAAGGCGUAGUCGAUGGGAAACAGGUUAAUAUUCCUGUACUUGGUGUUACUGCGAAGGGGGGACGGAGAAGGCUAUGUUGGCCGGGCGACGGUUGUCCCGGUUUAAGCGUGUAGGCUGGUUUUCCAGGCAAAUCCGGAAAAUCAAGGCUGAGGCGUGAUGACGAGGCACUACGGUGCUGAAGCAACAAAUGCCCUGCUUCCAGGAAAAGCCUCUAAGCAUCAGGUAACAUCAAAUCGUACCCCAAACCGACACAGGUGGUCAGGUAGAGAAUACCAAGGCGCUUGAGAGAACUCGGGUGAAGGAACUAGGCAAAAUGGUGCCGUAACUUCGGGAGAAGGCACGCUGAUAUGUAGGUGAAGCGACUUGCUCGUGGAGCUGAAAUCAGUCGAAGAUACCAGCUGGCUGCAACUGUUUAUUAAAAACACAGCACUGUGCAAACACGAAAGUGGACGUAUACGGUGUGACGCCUGCCCGGUGCCGGAAGGUUAAUUGAUGGGGUCAGCGCAAGCGAAGCUCUUGAUCGAAGCCCCGGUAAACGGCGGCCGUAACUAUAACGGUCCUAAGGUAGCGAAAUUCCUUGUCGGGUAAGUUCCGACCUGCACGAAUGGCGUAAUGAUGGCCAGGCUGUCUCCACCCGAGACUCAGUGAAAUUGAACUCGCUGUGAAGAUGCAGUGUACCCGCGGCAAGACGGAAAGACCCCGUGAACCUUUACUAUAGCUUGACACUGAACAUUGAGCCUUGAUGUGUAGGAUAGGUGGGAGGCUUUGAAGUGUGGACGCCAGUCUGCAUGGAGCCGACCUUGAAAUACCACCCUUUAAUGUUUGAUGUUCUAACGUUGACCCGUAAUCCGGGUUGCGGACAGUGUCUGGUGGGUAGUUUGACUGGGGCGGUCUCCUCCUAAAGAGUAACGGAGGAGCACGAAGGUUGGCUAAUCCUGGUCGGACAUCAGGAGGUUAGUGCAAUGGCAUAAGCCAGCUUGACUGCGAGCGUGACGGCGCGAGCAGGUGCGAAAGCAGGUCAUAGUGAUCCGGUGGUUCUGAAUGGAAGGGCCAUCGCUCAACGGAUAAAAGGUACUCCGGGGAUAACAGGCUGAUACCGCCCAAGAGUUCAUAUCGACGGCGGUGUUUGGCACCUCGAUGUCGGCUCAUCACAUCCUGGGGCUGAAGUAGGUCCCAAGGGUAUGGCUGUUCGCCAUUUAAAGUGGUACGCGAGCUGGGUUUAGAACGUCGUGAGACAGUUCGGUCCCUAUCUGCCGUGGGCGCUGGAGAACUGAGGGGGGCUGCUCCUAGUACGAGAGGACCGGAGUGGACGCAUCACUGGUGUUCGGGUUGUCAUGCCAAUGGCACUGCCCGGUAGCUAAAUGCGGAAGAGAUAAGUGCUGAAAGCAUCUAAGCACGAAACUUGCCCCGAGAUGAGUUCUCCCUGACUCCUUGAGAGUCCUGAAGGAACGUUGAAGACGACGACGUUGAUAGGCCGGGUGUGUAAGCGCAGCGAUGCGUUGAGCUAACCGGUACUAAUGAACCGUGAGGCUUAACCUUACAACGCCGAAGCUGUU